Molecule: long non-coding RNA, 1064 nt
Organism: Meriones unguiculatus (Mongolian gerbil)
Lineage: Eukaryota; Metazoa; Chordata; Mammalia; Rodentia; Muridae
Exons: 4
Source: RefSeq, a predicted model, not a curated record
UUAACAAUAUCACCCAGAAUUCUGCAAGAGACUUGUACUUAUCACAGUUUCACAGAAGAGGAAAACUCAAAGAAGCUCCUAAGUCUCCCUGUCACACAGCUGCCAGGAUAUGGGUGGCAGCGCCUGGUACUUAUUUGUUCAAGAUAGCUCCUCGUCAGUAUACGCCAAGGAUGGAUUUUAAAGAAUCACACCUUCAGAAGUGUCAUCUCCCUGAAGAAGGAGGGCACGAGGCUUCACCUCCCUCCGCAGACACUGUGUGGCUACUUCCAGUGACAGUUCUGUCAGCUGAGGAGCAAAAAAAACUCAAACACACGAGCCCAUCGAGACUUUCCUCAUUUAAACCACCACAGGAACAAAGGAAGAAACGAAAAUACCAGGAAAUGAAUGGCAUUCUGAAGAAAAGAUGACGGUAAAUUGGACUAAGAAGGAGACACAUGGAUUCUGACCUUCCUUUAAAGGUGUGUCACAGUUCGUGAGAAUAUUUCAUCCUGAGAUGGAGAUGCUAACAGUGGAGAGAGAGCCUCAGUGGUUAUGUUGCCAUCUUCUCUGGACUCACUUCUUCUGCAUAGGAAAAAUCUGGGGCUCAAGGAUGAAGACCAGCACAAGUUGAAACCUUAGUUCUAUGGCCCAGUGAAUAACCUGGGUGUCUGCCCCUGACUUGAGGCUGAAACCAUCUCAGAGGGUCCCUGGGCAUCUGCUCAGUGAUUGACAGAAAGAAACACAUUUCUCCCACAAGCAAAAGCAGAGAAACAACUUCACUCUCAAAACCAACCAGGAUAAAGAAGGGACAUCAUGCCCUGCUGUCCACAGAGUCCAAAGCCUGAUUCUCAGAGGGGUUCCUGGAGUGACAUUAGUCUCCAGUGGCACUGUGACCAGCAUAGAUGCAGGGAGAGGACACAGAUAACUCCAGUUACCCUGGGACCUCCUCCCCUCUUCUCCUUCCAUUCCAAAGUAUUCCUGUACUGCCCUGCGCUAGCUUUACACUAAGAAUUACGGGGCAGGAUAUUUCUAAUUCACUCAUCAUUAAAAAUCUCAAAGUGCUUUGAGUUUCUUGUCUAUCUCCA